AGAAUAGGAACAGAGGAGUGAUUUUGUUUUGAGGGCAAUUAAGGUUCGUGGAGCUCAGCUACUUUCUUCGAAGCUGAGAUGGAAGUUUGACUGUGGAAUUUUCUCCUUUUUGGUCAAAGCUUGUGGGUUUGACCGGACUCGUCAGGGCUUUUCUCAGAAGGCGGCUUAUCUUUAUGUUCCUCAGAUCACGCCACGUGGCUCAUUUCUGUAUACGUGGACAGCACUCGAACAACGCAUCUUAUCGAAUAUGUUCAUCUCUCUCUCUCUCUUUCUGAUAUAUAUAUAUAUAUAUUUAUAUCUUUUCCCCUUUUGUGAUGAAUAAUGAUAAAUAGUACAUGAAAUAUUUAUUUUAAGCUCUAGUUUUGAAUAUGAUUAGUAAUAUAAUUAAGCAAGAAAGGAGUGACAACGACAGAAGUCUUCAUUUCAAUUUCGAGAGCUGCUUCAGCAUUACAUCUCCAUUUAAGAAAUUAGAACAGUCAGACAUUUCUUUAGGGAGGAAAAGAGGUACUAAGUUUAUGGACUCUGUUGAUCCAAUUUUCUUUUGGGCCUUACAUAAUAGCCCACUGCUUUUACAGAGUUGUUUUUUCAGUGGGUCCAUCCAGUUUUGGAAUUUGCUUGGCCCCAUGUUCCCUCAUUUUCAAACUUUGCAAAAUGAAACAGUAUUAACACAUCUUCACUCUUAGUCUAAGCUUCAAACUAGGAGAGAGAAAAGCAUCCCAUUUGGAGAAGAGCCACUGAAAAUGUUGAAUUCACCAAAAACAGAGGCAUCCACAAAAUCUUCAUACAUAUCAGGUAGGUUAGCUUCAUUCUAGAAGACAAUUUGCAUCUCAUCUUCCAAUUGCAUUUUCCAGCACUUAGGGUCCAACUCAGCCUGCCGAUCAUGUAAAAAGCUACUUAGGAUCCCAUAGUAGGGCAUAAGAUUGUUAAAUAUCCCCUAAACAUUGAUUCAGGCUCCAAUCCUUUUAUAUUCAACAAAAGAAGAAAAAAGGACAAUUUUAAUAGCCUAACAUUGAUUCGAGUUCAAAACUUUUAUUCUUGUCGAGCACAAAAUUCCUAAGGUUGAUACGUGAUUAUAUAGAAAUCAGAAUGCAUUAACAAGUACCUGAAAUAUUUUCUCUCUCCACUCGAAUGUGCAUCCCCGGACUUCCAAGUGCUUAAGAAGACGUUCGGGUAGCAGAGCUUGAAACAGUGCAUGAAGCUUCACUUUUGUUAGAGAACUAUUUGCCAACAAGGCAGCUGCAACUCCACUUGGAGUUAAUCUGUUUGUAUGCAAUACAGUCAAAUGCUGAAGGCAGCCAAGGCUGGCGAGAGACAGAAGUCCCAGAUCAGUAACCGAGCUAUAAGACAAAUUUAUCUGUUGAGAAAUUAAAGAAGUUAAUUAUAUGCUUUUCUACCUGUUCUACUUUGGGAAACAGUUAAAAGAGAGCAAUGAUCACCUGUCUGAGGUUUUGAGAGAAAUGAGCAAGAGGGAUCAUGCCAGCAUCAUCAACAUUGCAACACUUUUUUAAGUCUAGUCGCCUCAGUAACUUGCAUCCUGCCACAGCUUCAGCUAAGCCAAAAGAUGUUAUAAGUGGGCAUCCACGAGCUUCUAUUGUCUUUAGCCUUGAGCACUUACGAAGAGAUGAAAAUGACUUGUCGGUGAUGUCCCGACAAUAUGCUAUAUUUAUCAUUUCAAGAUCAGGGCAACCAUGGAUGAUUGCCAAAAGGCCAGAAUCAGUAAUUCCUGCACACCUGAUGAGGAAAAAAGAAGACAAAAACAUAAAGUCAGUCCAGGUCCAAGUCCCUUAAAUACAGAGAAGAAAAAAUCAUGAGAAGUCAUAAACCUGUAUAAAUCUAGCUCCAAAAGCUUGGAGCAGCACGUGCCGAUAUGGCCAAGUCCCUCGUCAUUAAGAUUCAGACAAAUUCCAAGCUUUAAGAUGGAGAGCUUUGAACACCUAGAUAAUGAUCUCAAACCUGCAUAGAUUAGAUAUUGAUGAUAAGUAUGCCACCAAAUGCAGUCCACAAUACAAGGAGAUUCAUAGCCAAUAAGAAGAAUCUUAAGGACCUUCAUUAUCGAUUUCGUUGUCAGUUAAAUCAAGCUCCUCAAGCAAAUGACAUCCUCGUCCAAUCAGGAUAAAUCCUUCUCUGCUUACUAAGGAGCAAGACUCCAUUUUUAGAGAAGUUAGGCUGGUACAAGAGUUGGUAAGAUUUGAAAUAGAAACAUCAGUUAUCUUGCGACAACAAGUUAUGUCAAGCUUCUUCAAAUCUUUGUGUUUCUUCAGGAUGGAGAUGAGACCUUCAUCAGUCACACCAACACAUUUGCUUAAGCUCAGGUCACUCAGUGAUGCACAGCAAUUUCCUAUGGCUUCAAGUCCAUCAUAAGUAACAACACAGCCAUCCAAUUUGACUGAUUGUAACAUGGAUAAGUUCUUUAAACUAUUAGCCAGAGCAAGAGUCACCUAAACCAUCAACAGAAAACAAUAUUACUUAAUAAACAAGGAAAUACAAAGAGGAUCUAAAGUUAAAACAUAGAGAUUAAGUUGAAGGACUUACAGGAGAGCCAUACGCUAAUGUAAGCUGCUGUAAAGAUGUUGUAGCGCGGGUCAGGGAAGAUAGCCCAGUAGGACUAAUAUUCGGACAACUCGAUACAUCAAGUUUCUGUGGAAAUUGAAAUGUAUGCCAAUGUCAUAAUAUGCUUUCAAGUGAUGCACAAAAACCUGGAACAUUAUCAGGUUCUAGCAACAACUUUUAAUUUUAUAAAUGAGCUACUAAGCCAGAGUCUCUCAAACAAGGCCAAUGGUUAUAUGAGCCAAUAGGGAGCACAACUAAAAGAAUAACUGCCUAAGUUCAUUAAAAUUUACCUUUAAGGACUUGCAUCCAUAUCUAAUAACACCAAGGCAGUCAUCAUCUAUGCCAAAGCAUCCCUCUAACACCAAAUCUUCAAGAUACUUGAGCUUUAAUAUGGAUGGUAAACAUUUUUCUGUGAUCUGACAAGGAAAAAAAGAAAGGAGCACCAAUGUUCAUAUACCUAACGAAAAGUUAAACACUCGUUGAGCAUAAAACUCAGCCACAAGUAACAACUGAAGCCCCAAAAGCCAGGAAUUCAAUAACAAUCAACACAAAGCUAAUUCAUGAACUGGAUAUUACGCUGAAAAAUGUAUAUAUUCUCUCACUCCAUAAUUAAAAAUAAAUAUAUAUAUAUGAAAGAAAAACCCAUUCAAUGCCAAGACAAAGCAAACUACCUGCAUAUAGGAGAGAUCCAAACCACGAAUUUGUUCACACUUAACAGCGAUCAAACCGACCCCCAAAUCUCCAAUACUCAUACACCACUUUAAGCUAAUGAAUCUCAAUUUGGUGCAUCCAACUGCAAUACACCCAAUCCCCAUAUCCGUUAUCAAUUUACACCUCCCCAACCACAGCUUCUCAAGAUUUUUGGCUUUAGCUAAAGCCACCGCCGCGGCAUCUCUAAGCUCCGUUGCGUUGGACAAGUCGAUUUCCACCAAAUUUGUACAAUUCGUAGCCAAACUCAACAACCCAGUAGCCGAAAAGAAUUUAGACCUGGAAAGGUCUAGAGAACGAAGCUUAGAGUUGCAGGCCUUAGAAAUGAUGACCAAGGAGGCAUCGGUGACGCGAGGGGAGAGGGAAAAAUCAAGAUGGGUUAAUUGCGUAUAACGUUGAAGCACAGAAGGAAGAUGCUCAGAACGAAGAGGUUUGAGGAUUUUGCGGUGCUUUGCUUCGACAUAGUAGAAUGACUUGCAGGUUAAGGAGAAGGAUUUGAGAUCAAUUGGAUUAGAGGUGAGUAAGUCGAGGAUGGAAAAAAUGAUUUCAUCAGAAAUCAGAUCAAAAGGGUUUGUGUGUUCAAUGAAUUUCUGCCUCUUCAUGGCUUGAGAAGAAGGAAAUAUUUUUGCGUCUAAACUCUAAAGAAAAGAAAAACCCAUAUUAUAAAACAAAAAAAAUGGAGAAGGAAAAAGAAAGCGAGAAGUCUGUGAAGAACUGGUUGAAUCUGAGGCGUUGGCUAGAAAAUCGGAAUGUUAGGAACCGGGAAGAACGAGACCAACUACUUCCUCAGAUGGAGCGAUUAACUGUUAACGGAAAAUACUGAUUACAAGGUUUCGGGAUACCAACGUCCAAUACCCAUGGGAUUAAGGAAGAGAAAGAUUCCUAAUUACGUUACUACCCUCACAACGUCGAUGAUACGCUAAUUUUAUAAAUAUUACUACUCCCAUUUUUAAUAUAAUAAUAAUAACAAUAAAUAAUAUCUAAAUUUCUCGGGUGUAAGUAGGAGAGAAAUAGAGAUUUCUAGAGUAAUCAAUUUAUGAAAAAUAAUAGUAAUAAGAAUAAAAAUGGAGGAGGGUAUGUUGGUAAUUUAAAAGGAGAAGGAGGUCCGUACCGGAGAAAAAGGACAGGAAGGACUGAGUGGAAAGUAGAAGAAAAAAGAAGGUGGGGUUAAUAAUGUAAUUUGGGAAAGAAGACGUCGUAAUCAGGAGGAGUCAUCCAGUGGAGGAGUAUGCGAGGAAGGAGGGAUUCAAUUUCAAAGUGCAUACAACCUGUACGAUCGAAGAAACGGCAGACCUAACAAAAAAAAAAAAAAAAAGAAAAGGGUUUGAGUUUGAUAUUAUAUAAGAAUAUGAGAGAGAGAAUAAAGAAAAGAAAAAAAAAAAGGAGGAGUUUUAGGGUGGGGGAAGGGGAGAAGGAGAGAAAAUGGAUGAGUCAAAAUGAAAGGGAAAGGGAAAGGGAAAAAUGGCCGUACUUAUUGUAGUUGGUGGUGCUGUGGGCAGCCAUAGUACCGACCUUACUCAGAUAAGAACGGUGAGAGAUGAAAGCGUCAAAAGUGGGCUAACAUUUGGGCCCCCACCAUUUCCCAUUCUCUCUCUCUUAAAAUUAAAUAAAUAUAUAUAAUUAAUAUUCUCUUUUUUUUUUCUUUUUUUACAAAAUGUAUAUAUAUAAAUGUUAGAUUAAGCUGAAACAGGUGUCAUUCUAAACAGAAUAAAUUCUAAAGUAAUUCCUACUUUCAUGUCACUUUAUCAUUUUCCAUUUCACUAAAUUCUUAUACUCCUAAUUUUCUACAUGCAAAAUAAUAUAAGAAAGUAUCAACAAAACAUAAAUAAUAAACACGUUUUGAAAACUAGUAAAUGUUUAUUAAUUCAUUAAUUACACUAUCAACAAACGUUUUUAUAAAAAAAUCUUGUUUAUAAUAGUAUAAUAAAUUUUUGCAAAUGUAACUUAACUGAUUUCAAUGUGCGUCAAUGAAUGAAGAUUUUGAAAGGAGAUGGAAGUGUAAAAGGAGAUGUGGUGUGGAGAUAGAUGGGGAUUUCUAGAUUUUAUUCCAACGCCAGACCUGGUGAAGGCACCAACUGCACCUCCCGGCCCCAACCUCCCUAUCUCUCUAUUCAUUCUUUUUGCCUUUUCUAUUUUUUUCUUCCUCUACCAAUAUUUUAAUGUAACCCCUAAUUUCUUCUUUUUAUUACAAAUACUAUUCAUGUCUUUGUCAUUCUUUUUUAAAUUAAUAUCACUAAUAAUCUCUUAACCAUUCGAUUCAAAUUGGUU
This 5526-nucleotide long non-coding RNA is filed under the name Cucumis sativus (cucumber). RNAcentral describes it as "long non-coding RNA (CSAT_LNC001205)". The record is from RNAcentral. Lineage: Eukaryota; Viridiplantae; Streptophyta; Magnoliopsida; Cucurbitales; Cucurbitaceae.